GAUGAACGCUGGCGGCGUGCCUAAUACAUGCCAGUCGAGCGAACAGAUGAGGAGCUUGCUCCUCUGACGUUAGCGGCGGACGGGUGAGUAACACGUGGAUAACCUACCUAUAAGACUGGGAUAACUUCGGGAAACCGGAGCUAAUACCGGAUAAUAUAUUGAACCGCAUGGUUCAAUAGUGAAAGACGGUUUUGCUGUCACUUAUAGAUGGAUCCGCGCCGCAUUAGCUAGUUGGUAAGGUAACGGCUUACCAAGGCAACGAUGCGUAGCCGACCUGAGAGGGUGAUCGGCCACACUGGAACUGAGACACGGUCCAGACUCCUACGGGAGGCAGCAGUAGGGAAUCUUCCGCAAUGGGCGAAAGCCUGACGGAGCAACGCUGCGUGAGUGAUGAAGGUCUUCGGAUCGUAAAACUCUGUUAUUAGGGAAGAACAAAUGUGUAAGUAACUAUGCACGUCUUGACGGUACCUAAUCAGAAAGCCACGGCUAACUACGUG
RNAcentral lists this ribosomal RNA (497 nucleotides) under uncultured bacterium. Its description in RNAcentral is "partial 16S ribosomal RNA". It matches the Rfam family "Bacterial small subunit ribosomal RNA", at positions 28 to 507 of the family's 1533-position model. The record is from RNAcentral.